AGUGAACGCUGGCGGUAGGCCUAACACAUGCAAGUCGAACGGCAGCACAGUAAGAGCUUGCUCUUACGGGUGGCGAGUGGCGGACGGGUGAGGAAUACAUCGGAAUCUACUUUUUCGUGGGGGAUAACGUAGGGAAACUUACGCUAAUACCGCAUACGACCUACGGGUGAAAGCAGGGGAUCUUCGGACCUUGCGCGAUUGAAUGAGCCGAUGUCGGAUUAGCUAGUUGGCGGGGUAAAGGCCCACCAAGGCGACGAUCCGUAGCUGGUCUGAGAGGAUGAUCAGCCACACUGGAACUGAGACACGGUCCAGACUCCUACGGGAGGCAGCAGUGGGGAAUAUUGGACAAUGGGCGCAAGCCUGAUCCAGCCAUACCGCGUGGGUGAAGAAGGCCUUCGGGUUGUAAAGCCCUUUUGUUGGGAAAGAAAAGCAGCAGGUUAAUACCCCGCUGUUCUGACGGUACCCAAAGAAUAGACACCGGCUAACUUCGU
Molecule: ribosomal RNA, 491 nt
Filed under: uncultured bacterium
Lineage: Bacteria
Description: partial 16S ribosomal RNA
Rfam family: Bacterial small subunit ribosomal RNA
Source: RNAcentral